GAAGGUUGGAAAAGGCAGACUGCAAACAGAUAAUCCACUGCUCCUUGCCCACCCCUUCCUCUGGAUCCCAUGUGGCUGCCUGGUCUACCAUCAUGGCAGAAUGCGAGUCUCUACAGAACUGAACACCCAUCAUGGGGAGGCUGCUGUGAUGACUCAGGAAAUGCUUCCUCCUUCAUAAUAUUGAACCCAGCUUCAUGAUGUUUAAUAGGAUUACUAUCUUGCUCCAUAACAGAGUCUUUUCAGCGUGGAAAAAUGUCUUCGAUAACAGCAUGAAGUGUCUCAGACAGAUAACCAACAUGAAGAAUGCCACAUAACAAAGGCACCAAAUAACAAAAUAAUCUGUUUUUCCACUCAGAUGCCUUCUAAUGUUGCUCACACUUUUAUGAGAGCACAACAACGUCCAUCAUAAAUAAUGCAAAGGCUUGGCAUGCCCUGAGCUCUCUGUCACCAGCCAGGACUGAAUUGCAGAGUAAAAAUAUUUCAUUUGGGGU
This 491-nucleotide long non-coding RNA is filed under the name Homo sapiens (human). RNAcentral's name for it is "HSALNT0305772". Lineage: Eukaryota; Metazoa; Chordata; Mammalia; Primates; Hominidae. The record is from RNAcentral.